Molecule: ribosomal RNA, 253 nt
Filed under: uncultured bacterium
Lineage: Bacteria
Description: partial 16S ribosomal RNA
Rfam family: Bacterial small subunit ribosomal RNA
Source: RNAcentral
UACAGAGGGGGCAAGCGUUAUUCGGAAUUAUUGGGCGUAAAGGGCACGCAGGCGGUCUGUGAAGUUUGGAGUGACAGUUGGUGGCUCAACCACCAAAGUGCUUUGAAAACUGAUAGACUUGAGGGCUUCAGAGGGACACGGAAUUCCGGGUGGAGUGGUGAAAUGCGUAGAGAUCCGGAGGAACACCAAAGGCGAAGGCAGUGUCCUGGGGAGUACCUGACGCUCAGGUGCGAAAGCCAGGGGAGCGAACGGG